GAACGCUGGCGGCGUGCCUAAUACAUGCAAGUAGAACGCUGAAGGGAGAGCUUGCUCUUCUGGAUGAGUUGCGAACGGGUGAGUAACGCGUAGGUAACCUGCCUGGUAGCGGGGGAUAACUAUUGGAAACGAUAGCUAAUACCGCAUAACAUUGACUAUUGCAUGAUAGUCAAUUAAAAGGUGCAAAUGCACCACUACCAGAUGGACCUGCGUUGUAUUAGCUAGUUGGUGGGGUAACGGCUCACCAAGGCGACGAUACAUAGCCGACCUGAGAGGGUGAUCGGCCACACUGGGACUGAGACACGGCCCAGACUCCUACGGGAGGCAGCAGUAGGGAAUCUUCGGCAAUGGACGGAAGUCUGACCGAGCAACGCCGCGUGAGUGAAGAAGGUUUUCGGAUCGUAAAGCUCUGUUGUAAGAGAAGAACGAGUGUGAGAGUGGAAAGU
RNAcentral lists this ribosomal RNA (446 nucleotides) under Streptococcus cristatus. RNAcentral describes it as "bacterial SSU rRNA". It matches the Rfam family "Bacterial small subunit ribosomal RNA", at positions 31 to 463 of the family's 1533-position model. The record is from RNAcentral. Lineage: Bacteria; Bacillati; Bacillota; Bacilli; Lactobacillales; Streptococcaceae.